This 429-nucleotide ribosomal RNA is filed under the name Actinomycetes bacterium. RNAcentral describes it as "Actinobacteria bacterium partial 16S ribosomal RNA". It matches the Rfam family "Bacterial small subunit ribosomal RNA", at positions 355 to 776 of the family's 1533-position model. The record is from RNAcentral. Lineage: Bacteria; Bacillati; Actinomycetota; Actinomycetes.
UAGGGAAUCUUCCGCAAUGUGCGAAAGCCUGACGGAGCAACGCCGCGUGAGUGAUGAAGGUCUUCGGAUCGUAAAACUCUGUUAUUAGGGAAGAACAAAUGUGUAAGUAACUAUGCACGUCUUGACGGUACCUAAUCAGAAAGCCACGGCUAACUACGUGCCAGCAGCCGCGGUAAUACGUAUGUGGCAAGCGUUAUCCGGAAUUAUUGGGCGUAAAGCGCGCGUAGGCGGUUUUUUAAGUCUGAUGUGAAAGCCCACGGCUCAACCGUGGAGGGGCAUUGGAAACUGGAUAACUUGAGUGCAGAAGAGAAAAGUGGAAUUCCAUGUGUAGCGGUGAAAUGCGCAGAGAUAUGGAGGAACACCAGUAGCGAAGGCGACUUUCUGGUCUGUAACUGACGCUGAUGUGCGAAAGCGUGGGGAUCAAACAGG